This is a long non-coding RNA of Columba livia (rock pigeon), 576 nucleotides long. RefSeq lists it as uncharacterized. The transcript has 3 exons. Lineage: Eukaryota; Metazoa; Chordata; Aves; Columbiformes; Columbidae. The record is from RefSeq and is a predicted model, not a curated record.
AUUCAUCAACCUCUGGAUUAUUAAAUUCGUGAGGAUUAAAUAACUAAAGCAGAAAAAAAAGCAAACAAAACCUACUGGAAGUAUAUACACUAAGGCUUGCUACACAAACUUACAUUCCAGGCCCCAGUAAAAAAAGACAGAAUCAAUCUUGUUUCUUUUAUACCUUUUUCCUCCUGCCAUGGUCCACUGUGAGAAGCCUGGCUCCACUUUCCUGAUGACAUCUUGUAAGAACAUGCCACAGCCAGCCAUGAAGGGAGUUUGUGUGUGUGAGAGACAGGACGAUCUCGCUGUUCUGACAGCUGGGAUGGGCGCAGACACCAGAACUCUAUUGACGUGAAGCUGUUUGGAAGCACCUGUUGUGUUGCUUUCUGCAUUAAUUUGGUGUGUAUUUCAUUGUACAUAAUAGAUACACAUGUUGCCUAGUAUACUUUUGAACAGAAUUUGUUGAUAUACCCUUGUUUAUUUAAAUCCUGUUUUGUAAAAAAAAAGAAAAAAAAUAACAGAUGAGUUAUGCUUUGAAAUAUGUUACUCACAAGUAUACAAACCUACUUUCAAUAACCUCUGCUCCUACUUACA